This 72-nucleotide transfer RNA is filed under the name Chthonomonadales bacterium. RNAcentral's name for it is "tRNA-Gly". It matches the Rfam family "tRNA". From Rfam's summary of the family: Transfer RNA (tRNA) molecules are approximately 80 nucleotides in length. Their secondary structure includes four short double-helical elements and three loops (D, anti-codon, and T loops). Lineage: Bacteria; Bacillati; Armatimonadota; Chthonomonadia; Chthonomonadales. The record is from RNAcentral.
GCGGGAAUAGCUCAGUGGUAGAGCAUCUGCUUCCCAAGCAGAGGGCCGCGGGUUCGAAUCCCGUUUCCCGCU